Molecule: long non-coding RNA, 3062 nt
Organism: Erinaceus europaeus (western European hedgehog)
Lineage: Eukaryota; Metazoa; Chordata; Mammalia; Eulipotyphla; Erinaceidae
Exons: 2
Source: RefSeq, a predicted model, not a curated record
CCUGGUGCCUGGAGCCUGGAGGUUGCUGAGAGCUGUUGGCUUUGGAACAAGUAAGGGUCCAGGAUGGUGGGGCCUCACUCCCAGAAUUCUUCCUCAGGUGCCUGAAGGACAGUGCCAAGGCCUUAAUGCAGGGGGACAAGGUGGUGACCUUUUCCUUCUUUCGGGAGAGGCGCAUGUAUUUCACCAGGUUUAUCACUCCCACGUUGAUGUGGACAGCAGAGCUGUGUGGUUGACAUUUACAGAAGGACACGCUGUGGGGGACCGGCCUUCUGAGCCCAUCACACACUGAGUAGUGCGCUCAGAGGCCCAGAGGUUUAGCAUAACCGGCCCUCAGCGCACCUUGGGGACCAUACACGGGCUGAUAUACAUGGAGCCCUGGUAGGGUGAUCAGUUCACCUCCUUGGUGACAGGCUUACUUUACCUUGCAAAGGCAAGUCUGUUCCUAGAGUUUCCAACCCCACCCCCACCCCACCCUUCCUGCCCCUUCUUCCUACAAGAGUUGCUUUCAUGGCAACUUUCAAGGUCGCUGGCCCAAAGCCUUCUGGUUAGGAUCUUCACCCCCGGGUUUUAAGUUCUUGGAUCUUCUCGUCAGCUUGAGUCACAGGCUGGACUGUCUGUGGACGAACUCGAGUGCUGCUGAGGGCAAAGGCGAGGCCUGAGGGGGACAGAGGGCCCUGGAUGCCUCCGUUUAGGUGUCAGAGUGCAGAUUCUUUAGAAAUAAGGAAUUCCAGUGCUGGCCAGAUAGCUUGCUUAGAUAGGGAGCUGCUUUGUCAUUUGUGUUGCCCAAGUUUGAGCCUGGCCACCACCACAUUGAAGGAAGCUUUAGUGCUGUGAUCUGUUUCACUCUUUCUCUGCAAAAAAAAAAAAAAAGAAGAAGAAGAAAGAAAAAGAAAAGAAAAGAAAAGGAAGAAAGAAAGAAAAAGAAAGGAAGAAAAAGAGAGAGAAAGAAGGAAGAAAAAGAGAAAGGAAGGAAGGAAGAAAAGAUUGAAUCUGGUACUUAGGAGCUUCAGACAUGAGGCACGAGGUUCUUAGAGUAAUCACGUAACACUAUUUCCUGGCCUCUGUGUUUAUAAGUACUCAAAUCUCACUUUUCUUUCUCUUUGCAAAACUUAACUACUCCCUGGAAUGACACAUGUACAACCAUUAAUCUCGCUUGACACCAAACGUGCAUUUCUUGGCAAGUGAGAAGUCUGCUCUCAUAUACUGAGAACAUAUCUUAAAUACAAGUCCCAGACGACACUGAUGCAUGGUGUGUUUACAUGUGUUUAGAAAAAAAAUGCAAUGUCUUUCCUAAAGAAAAAAAGACUUGUUUGCUCACUGAAGAAAAAAAAAAAAAAAAGGAACAGAAGCCCCCACCUCCUCCUGUUCCCGAGGCCACAUUCACUUCAGAGUUAUCUCCUUGAGGCUGAGUGAGGGUUGUGGGUUGCUCACCUCCGUGACAGACUCAUUCCUAGGCUUUAUGAUGGGCAGGACACUUGAGAGAAGAUGUGGAAUCCUUCCUUGCUUCUAGCUCUUCUCCUUCUGGGACUUUGGGCACCUGUCUGAAUCUGUUUCACUGUCAGAAUGGGGGUGUGACCCUGAGGACUAGAGUUAGGAGGGUUAAUAGAGGGAAGUUAGUUUAAUCUCCUGAGGGGAGACUUGCGUGACUGAGGUGGUUUCCUGCCAUCUUGCUGGAGUCCCAGACAACAGUCACCUUGGGAUAUGAGGAAUGACAGUUUCCUUUAGUAAUACUUGGUCCAACUUCUCCUCAUAAAAACAGAGCUGGAUUCACCCCUGGUUAGGGGGCAAAGUGCUGCGUCCUCCACUCUCCCCACCCCCGCUCAGGCAGGCAGGACCUAGGCCUCUCAGUCCUUUCACACCUAGCCCUGACACGCACAGUCCUAUACUUCUCUUUGCUGGUUCUCCAACCUUCAGCGAAACGGACUCAGGAACGACCUACUCACUUUUAGAAAGCACUGUGUCUGUCCAUCUCACCUAAGGUUUGAGGCUGCAGGGAUGGAGUCCUCAGACUUAACCAGCAGAGUACAAGCGUGAGAUUAUACCUGUGCUACAAUCCUCCAUGCUGUUUACCUGAAAGAAAUGGUAUCUGAAAUCACACACCUAGUUCCUGGACUGUGUUUCCUUGGUGGUCUGGAGCACCCUCAACAGUCCUUCAUGUUUCAAGAUUCAGUUCCAGAAUUUCUUUCAGAGGCAGUCCAGGUUCCCUUUAUAUUAUGACAGCAGCCUGAUGGAUUUGCCCUUCAGCUUGAAAUGAGCUUCACAACCAACAGAUUUCGUUCACACCAGGAAAGCCACAAGAUAUGCAGGUUAAGAGAGAACACACAGUGCAGAGUCAGUCCAGAACCACAGUGAUGUAGCCCCGACAUGAGAGAAGCAUCAAGGGUGAGAGCUGAGUCCUCCCUCACCAUGGACCACUCAUGCACACUCAGACAUGUGCAUAGUUGAAAAUACUUCCAAAAAAGAGAGACCAGCAAUCAACCUGACUGUUGCUGUCACUGGGCAGCUACACCUGCAUCUCCAAGACGUGACGUAGAUCUCGAGUGAAUGGAAGCUUUCUGCACUAUCUCAACAUGCCUGGCUAUGUUCAUACUCCUUUGCCCUGGUACCACUGUGUGCCGGAGAGGUGCCCUGAUUCCAACUCUCUUCGUCAAAUAUGGAAACCAAACAUUCACCAAAGGAAACAUGACACUAACUCCACAGACGUCAUUUUUAAAAAUCUGUGUUUAUUUGCUUCAUGUAAAGAUAGGCAGAGAAGAAUUUUAACCUUGACAGAAAAGCCAGAGCACCACUCAACAUACUGUGCCAAAUCUCAAAGCAGGAGCCUCCGGCGUGAGAGUUCAUUGCCUCACAGGUCCAACAGUCUUACUGACGGUCACACCAUUUCAAUAUCUCCUCAGAGUCCUGAGCGCUCUGCUGCUCCUGGAAAUUUGAGGUGAACUAGCAGUUAGGGGUGGAGGUUCUGAAGCAUUUCUCAACACGCAAAUAUUUUAAAAUAUGGUAACUUUUUUUUUCUUGGUCUGUGUAUUUGAUACAUUAUUAAACAUACCCCUGCCCUUUUUUUU